This 58-nucleotide ribosomal RNA is filed under the name Senecio inaequidens. RNAcentral's name for it is "partial 25S ribosomal RNA". RNAcentral also lists the same sequence under 14 other names. Lineage: Eukaryota; Viridiplantae; Streptophyta; Magnoliopsida; Asterales; Asteraceae. The record is from RNAcentral.
GCGACCCCAGGUCAGGCGGGGCUACCCGCUGAGUUUAAGCAUAUCAAUAAGCGGAGGA